RNAcentral lists this transfer RNA (57 nucleotides) under Schistocephalus solidus. It matches the Rfam family "tRNA", at positions 8 to 63 of the family's 71-position model. Rfam says of the family: Transfer RNA (tRNA) molecules are approximately 80 nucleotides in length. Their secondary structure includes four short double-helical elements and three loops (D, anti-codon, and T loops). The record is from Rfam by way of RNAcentral. Lineage: Eukaryota; Metazoa; Platyhelminthes; Cestoda; Diphyllobothriidea; Diphyllobothriidae.
UGGCUCAAUGGUAGAGCGUUCGACUCAAAUACCAAAGGUCGCGGGUUCGAAUCCCAU